GUGGUGACCUGGGAAUCAAUGUGUGAGGUGGUGCUAUGUAGCAGGAACCCCUCUUGCUUUGCAAAUAGUUUUUUGUUUGUUUUCCUUUUUGCCCAAUAGAGCCCUGCUCUACUGACCCUUCAAUGUGCCCGUGUGCCUAAAUAUUCCUGGUCGUGUGAAAAGAACCCAGGUAUUAGCUGAACUAAGGAGCACAAUUCUGCAACAUUUUGGCACCCAAACACGGGGCUUGAGAAAUGAAUGCAAUUGGAGAAACUGGUUGUUUUACCAGGCGUUGAUUGGAAAUGUGUGCUUCCCUUUAAGCAGUCAAGCUCAACUUGCAGAACUGAUGGGAACCCCUUGGGAAAACUGGCCUCAAAUGUUUGUCUACACAGUCCACAUACAGGGUUCUUAACCUGCGGAAACACUUUCUGAAAAUGUCAGAACUCUUGAAAACAUGGAUGAGGAAAAGCAUAAGUACUGCUUUAUGCUUUUCUUAUGAAUUUUAAAAGAUGUAAUUUAAAGGUACUUUAAAGUGAUAUUUGUGCCCUUGUAACUGAUUCAAAGUAGACUGCUAAGGACAAUAAGUAAUAAGAGUCUACAAAUAUCAGUAAAUUAUGAGAAAAAACGGUCUAAUGGUACUUAAAAUUGCAUUGUGAUUUAUUAAAUAACAUUGAACAGCUCCACCUGUAACAUUAAGAUUCCAUUUGAGCAUAUAGAAAAUAUAUUUAUCGCAACCUGAAGUGAUUUGGAAAGUAUGCUGGGAAGAAAAUAUAUUUACAAAUUAGUCUCAGAGGGUAGGUAUCCUGUAGCCAGAUGGAAUAAGAAGAGAGGGAAGGGAGAUUUUGUUCAAAGGGGGAGCAUAAGCUAAGGAAUAAAGCCACAAACAAUGAUUAAAUUAGGUAAAGUGCAAUUAGCUGAAUAUUGCAUAAGCAUACAUAUGGGAAGAAGUGGAAAAAGGAGUGACAAUAUGAAGCUAAAGGGUUUGAAGUGUUCAAGAUAAUACUAGGCUUCCUAGCCUAUUCCGAGACAUCUUGUUUUAGAGUGCAAUAGAUAAGAACUCUAAGGAUGAAAGUAGGAGACAUGCAUUCUAGUCUACGUUUUGGUUAAUGGACUGAAAGUGAAAGAUGGACUGAAAUUGGGGGAUGGAAUAAAAAUGUGAUAGAAUAGAAAAUAGAAAAAGCAAUUAGCCUAAUGUCAUUGAUACUUAGAGAAAAUAUGGAAAAUAGUAAAUUAGUGAUAUAUAUCUUUUCUAAUUCACCAGGGUGAGUGAACAAAGGAAAUCGGAUUUAAAAGUAUUCAUGACAUAGAUGCAAUAAGGUUUCUCAGUCAGACAUAGCAAAUUGAGGGAAGGGAAGAUUUAGAGGAUUGGAAAAUGUCUUGCUUGUAGACUAAUAGGAUAUCAAUAAGCCAUAUGAGCAAUAAUUUGAAAUAGUUUUUGUAAAGUAUCAUGAAGGUAAACCCUGUUUAGAACAAAUUAGAUUUGAAGUACUUGUGACAAAUGCAAUUGACAAUGCCUUUAUGCAGCUGGAAAAUUGUUGCUUAGCAGAAAAGCUUGUGCUGGACAAAUAGAUGUCCAAAUUGAAUAGAUGUUUUCUUAAGCUGAACUAAUUGAGACAAAUAUCCUUAUUAAAUCAAAAAAUUAAAAAUUGAAAUAACUUACCUAUGAUAGGGUAAAUAAUGUUAUUAAUAUACACAAGAAAUAUGUGAUGUAUAUGUGUAUGUACAUAUGUAUACAUAGUAAUAAUACAUAGUGCUAUUUUUAAAUGAUAUUUUACAUAGUGCUUUUUUAAAUGAUUUUUCAAUCAUCGUUGUUGGUCUGUGUUAUUUUAAUCAUCAAAGCUGAUUGAUUUCUGUUUUUGUGUUUUUUUUUGUUUUUUUUGAGGUGGAGUCUCACUCUGUCACCCAUGGUGGAGUACAGUAGUGCGGUCUUAGCUCACUACAAACUCCACUUCCCUGAUUCAAGUAAUUCUUGUGCCUCAGCCUCUCGAGUAGCUUGGAUUGCAGGCAUGCACCACCACGAGCUGCUAAAUUUUUUGUAUUUUUUGUAGAGGGGUUUUGCCAUGUUGGCCAAGCUGGUCUCAAACUCCUGACCUCAAGUGAUCCGCCCUGGCUUCCCAAGCCCAGCUGAUUCCUGUUUAAAUAAAAACUUACAAAGAUCUUCCCACAAGUACUUUAUCUUACAAUUUACUGAACAAUAGAGGCAGUGAAGAUGUUUUUCAGAAAGCAAUUGUGAUCCUGACAUUUUCUUCUUAUAAUCCUGUGCUUUCCUCAUUUUUUUAUAUUAAAAGUAAUAGUUCUUGUGAUGGCAACUAGGAUUUGUAACAACAUGUACCCUCAUUUCCUGCAUGACCUUUUUUAUGUCACUUCUUCACAUGCAAAGUAUACUCCCUCAGUGUCAUUACAUUAUUUGAUUUUUGCCCUUUCCCUCACCUUUCCAUGUGUUUAUUUGCCUAUGCCCAUCUCCUAGUCACAUUUUAUCUAGUUAACGCCAACUUGACUUUCAAUGCUGUUCAAGAUUUACCUCAAUCUCAAGUGUUUUCUCUUUAUAUUCCAUACACGCUUAGCUUGGCUGCCAAUCCUCUUGGCUGCCAAAGAAUCCCAAAUUAUCUCUUUCAAAAAUACAAGAAAUAAAGGAUGGAGGAUAGGAAGGAGGGUGGUCAGGAAAGAACAAAGAAAGGAGGGGAGAGGAAAAAAAGAGAGAAAGAAAGAGAAUUAAAGUUAAGGAGGAAGAAUUUCACACUGAAUUAAAAUUGAUAAUAUUCAGGAAUGAUUUUAUAGUAGGCAUACAUUGAUAAAUAUUAGUUAAAUUAAUGAAUUAUUCCAAAAGAUCAUGAUUUGUAAAAAUUACCCUGAAGCACUUUAGGAAUAUUACAUUGAAAUAGGUAUGCAAUUUCUAAAGAAACUGGACUGCAAAAAUAGCCAUUGUGUGUACCUGUGGACCAGAAUAUUAUAUUUUGCUUAAGUUUGAAGUGUUAAAGUGCCCAACGUGCUCUUAUUUUAACCUAGCAAAUUUUCAGCAGAACUUAAGCUCAUAUAGUAUUUGAUUUUUUCAUUUCUCACAACUGUUGGAAUUCUGUUUUAUUGAAAAUUAUACAAUAAAAUGUUAAAAAAUCUUUGUUCCUGCAGUUAUGCAAUCUUAUGCCAAAGUCAAUAAAUUAUUAAAUUAAAAUCAAACCCACUAAGCCUAACAAUUUGAGAAAAUGAUUAUUAAAACAUAUACCAUUUAGAAGGGCAAUGCCUUUUUAAUAUUAUAGUGAAGACAACCCUAUCAAUUAUUUAAUACACCAAGAAUACAAGGAUAUAAAAUCUUUUUCUCUCAUAUAUCACAUUAUCUGAUGUAUUUAGCUGUGAUGACAUUCCAGAAAACAUCACUUUUUAAAAUUUCUAAGAUUUUAUUAUGUUGCUAGCAAAUCGAUUUUUUUCAAGUACUGUAACAAAAUCCCUAAAUGGGCUUUAUGAGAACUAUUUUCAGUGUGAUAUUAAUCAUAUUUUAUUUAUCAUCCAUACAUAGAUGGUAGCUUAUCUGGUAUUCCUAGUGUUUGAAGUGAAGAGUAACACACACACACAUCCCAAUACCAAUUUAAUUGAUAAAUAUAUAAUCAUUUGUUUUCAAAUAUUUAUGUUGAUACUUGCUUGUGUACUUACUUGUAAUGUAGGUCUGUAAAAGGGACUGUUUUCUUUCUGUGAAACUGAAGCUUAAAGCAGUGCUUGUCACAAAUUCAAAAUCACCUUGCUUUGUCAACAUUUUCAGAUGUUUUUGGCUCAGUCUGAUGACAGCAUCAGUGCAGUAAAGGGAUCUUAUUGAAAUGUUUUAACUAAAGAUAAAAUGCCACCACUAGGAGAAAAAUAAAAUCAAGGAAAUAAACAGAAAAUCAAUAAAUGUGAAAUGUAUUAUAAAUUUAUAUAAUAACAAUGUUGUAUGCUAUAAACAUCUCACUUUGUAAAAUUAACAAGAAUUCAGUGAGGCAGAUCAUUUUCUAUGUGUUCAGAAGUCAAGUCUUUGAUGGCUAAUUUUUAUAUUACUUCAUUACAAUAUCUCUACUGAAGCAAAAUAAUUGCAAAUCUUUUUGAAUGAAAUCAAUUUAUCUUUAAUUUUAGAUAAUAUUUGGUAUAGUUGGCAUAGUUUUGUCACAAAGCAUAGCUAACAUCAAUGUAGCCUUACGACUUCAAAUGUCUUUAUAGAUCUUUUCUGAAAUUGCAAAAUUUUACUUUGAAAUUAUUGUUAAUAUUUACGUUGCACAACCACAAAUGUAGAAAUAAAAUUAUAAAGUCUCCAGAUAAUGUUUUAUUUUAACCACACAUAUGUUGUGAUAGUUUCAAAUAAAUGAAAGCUCUACUGAUUUAUCAUUUUCAACAUCUUUACAUUAUUUAAGUAAUAUUAAUUAUAUUUAUGUAAAAAUACCUGAAUAGUCAUAACGAAAAUUUAAUAAUAAUGUAUAAUAUAUUGUUAACAUCUUUUAUUUUCACAAAAACACCAAGGAAGAAGCAGUGAGUAUUUUUUAUUUAUUUUAAAAAUUAACUUUUCAAUAAAUUAUUUAGGAAUGACUGGAAAUGUGCUGAGACAAAGAAGCAGUUGUCACUGUACACAAACAUGAAAUCAAUUACCUUUUGGAGAGUUUAUGAUGUGUGAGAGCUAGUGAAGUUACAUUGCAGAAGAGCAUAUAAGGAAAUCCAGAUCUGUAUAUAUUGUAGUAUAGUUUUAGUAUAAAUCUCUAAGAUUACACUUUAGACUAAGCCACAUAGUCAAACUGUUGUCUAUUUAUUCCUUUUGAAGAUUGAAACUCCCACAACUUUGGCAGACCAACUCCUCAGAAAACAUUAUUCUUUGACAUCAAUAUGUUUUGCACAAAAUUGAAUGGCAAGUGAAAGGCAUCAAAUGAUGGAGUCUUGUUCUGUGGUCCAGGCUAGAGGGCAGUGGCAUGAUCUCGGCUCACUACAAGCUCUGCCUCCCGGGUUCACGCCAUUCUCCUGCCUCAGCCUCCUGAGUAGCUGGGACUACAGGCGCCCGCCACCACGCCUGGCUAAUUUUUUGUAUAUUUACUAGAGAUGGCUAGUGUUAGCCAAGAUGGUCUCGAUCUCCUGACCUCGUGAUCUGCCCACCUCAGCCUGCCAAAGUGCUGGGAUUACUGGCGUGAGCCACCGUGCCUGGCCAGCAUCCUCUAAUUAUUAUUCAUAGUUUGUGAAUUUAGGCCUACGUGAAUAAUAAUAUAAUAUUUACUAUGAUGUUACUAUCUACCAACCUUAUUUUUCUUUUCUAUAAAAUAGGAGCCAAAAUAAUAUUUAUGUCAUACCUUAUGAAGUUAAAAUAAAAUAUAACGAAUGAGGGGCUUAACA
This 5313-nucleotide long non-coding RNA is filed under the name Homo sapiens (human). RNAcentral's name for it is "p53 upregulated regulator of p53 levels". The record is from RNAcentral. Lineage: Eukaryota; Metazoa; Chordata; Mammalia; Primates; Hominidae.